GCUCCCCAGCGCGUCCGGGAAGGGCCGCCCUAAAUGAGCCGGCAGCACCCACAGGCAGUCGGGCCGGACGCAAAGACAGAGGUGAUCAGACGGACACAGCAACUAAACGCCAAGCCCACCAAGUACGCUUGAAAAAAUAAGAGCAUCCGACGCGCGAUGGAAGAAUCGUCGAGACUGCGGAGGCAGCCGUGAAGGAGAGGGAGGCCAGGUCCGGUCCGGGUCAGAGCCUGAAAUGGGUUAGAGACCCAGCUGACCAUAGGAUUGGAAAACUGAAGGUACCGCCUGAGGGCUGGGUAUUGGGAGCCAGCAGCAAGGAGCCACCAACUCAUUCUGUGACCUCGGUCCUGCGAGGGGCUCGAGAAGAUGACUGACGUGGGCCCUGGGCAGAGAAGGACUUGGGGAAGCACAGGGAAGUGUGGGCUCCUAGCGACGACACAGCCCUGAGAUCGCCGACCGUCACAAACAGACCGGACCAUGUAAGACUUUAAUGAUGCGACACACCCCCACGUGGGGACUGCCGGAUCAUCUUCCUGAUUUUUAUGUAAAUCUAAAUCUGUAAAAUAAAAUAAUUCUUUUCAAAAGCUAACAGCUUUGCAAACAACCUCCCGCUGGACAUCCCCAGAGGGUCCCCAUCACCGGGAACAAAAGCACACCCUGACCAGCCUCCCCUGGGCUCUUUAGCCGCAGAGGCCCUGCCCAGCUCCUGCAGACCUGGACACGCCACCCCAGUGUGACGCCCGCGGGUCCAAGACCACACACACGGAACACGGCCGCCGGGCUCACCAACCUCUGCACCGCGUGCCUGCGCACACCUGACUCACCUUCCAGCCCAGAAGCCUCACCUGGUACAUCUGACCUGGGCUUCAAGAGUACCUGAGAAAGGUCUGGAAGGAGGGUGCCCUGGCCGCACUGCCCAGGCUGGUGGGCCCUCAGGGGAGGCACAAGCACCCCUAAAGCUCCUGGUGCAGCGGCACAGCCUCCCUGGCCUCAUGUGCCCAGAGCACUUCCACUGCCACCACGAUGCAGGGGCGAUUAAGCGGAUUGGAUGUUCUGGAGAGCAGACGUGAGUGCUUCAGACGCCGGCUUUAGAUAACGAGGACAGCCAGGUUUUUACUUCAUCCUGCUUGGACUGUAAUCUGCGAGGAUGUCACUUGGAGCAUUUUCUCUCUGAAAGAGUGACAACGGGAGGUUUGCACCCCACUCCGGGCCGCUGUGUCCGUACGGGGAAUCUGCACGUUGCCACUGCAGAGCCUCUCGCUGGGUGGGGGACAGUGGGGAGGCCCAAUGGGGCACGCAAGCAGGAAGGGUAAACCUCAGCCUCGGACAGAAGGGCCUCGGGACCGGCUUGUCCACCCUAAGGCAAACCCCUACUGUCCACCACCAGGCGUGGCUCGUGCACAGGAGACAGGACUGUCCUCCCUGGGGGAAGCUGCCCCUCCCUGCUGACCCCAGGUGCAGAGGUAAAGCCCCCAGUAGGGAAACAAAAUUCGAGGAACAUGGGGUCCCUGUACCCACUCCUGAGGCUCUUUCUACCGCUCUUUCAACUCCUGUCCUCUGCUACCUCCCUCAACCCAUCCCCACGCAGGAGGCUGGGAUGGGGAAGGGGGGUUCCAUCCACAUGUUCGGCCGAACCCCCAGCCCGCCCCACCCUGGCUGCCCCCGCUUCAGCUCAGCUCUGCCCUCUGCCCAGCCUCUCGGGAAUGCAGGGCCUCUCACAUGGUAGGCUCUGGGGACCCCUCACUCUGCAUGGAAACACUAAUCUAGGUUCUACAGCUAUGUGGGUAUGAAGGUGACCACAGCCCAGGCUGGAUCAUGCUCUCCUAUGAGCUUAAAAGGAUCUGAAACAUUUUCGUGGCCCUUCAAUGUGUCAAGGCUGCUGGUGCUGAGCCCGCCAUGCCCAGCCCGGAAGUAGCCCCAGAAGAGGUGGUCCUGCGCUUGCCGCCACUGCCUGCCUUCCUCAUUGAGUUCAGGGCUCAGAGGGAAAAGCAGGCAGGUUACUGGGCCCUCAGAGACCCUGUGCCUCACCAACCGCAUUGCGGGGCUGUGUGGGCAGCCAGCCCACAGCACAGGGGAUGCAUGCGGCACCCGAGGACCGGAGCCUGCCCUCCGACAGGCUGUCCCUAGCCCCUCGUGGCUCAGCAGGACAAGGUGGCGUGGGGACAAUCCCAGGGGAGGCCAAGCCUGCAAGCACAUGCCCGGGUGUUUGCAGGGAACACAGGCUCUGCCAAGGCGAUGAUGGAAACAGUGACUCACAGCAGGAGCCACCCCAGGCCCACCCCCCUCCAGGUGAGGCAGAAGGUGACACGGCAGUCAUUCCCCGCAAGGAGCCGCCCCUUGCCUCCAGCACCCACCCUCCAUGCAACAUUCCAGAAACAGCAAAGCAGCCCCCCACCCCGACCCCAGCUGCAGCGGUCUGCCGGGCGACGCACUGUGGCUCUGCUCCCAUGCGUGUCCCUGGUAUGAAGCCUCCCCAGGGGGUGUGAUCUGUGCCCCAGGCAGCCGGGGUCAGAGCUGUCAGGUCGCGGAGAUGCCGGGGAUGCGCGCUUCCAUCUGCACCCGCUGGCCUUCCCCGGAGGUGGCUGUGCAGGGCGGAGGCACAGGUGGCUCCUGCAGAAGCUCUGCCCUCGCUGACGGGGAGCUGAGGUUCAGGGGGCUCUCCAGGACUAGGGCCCAGUCACUGCUUCCAAGAGCCAGGUAGCUCCCCUCCCGGUAUGCCCACCUGGGGCCUCAGGGUGGUCCUUCUCCUUUUCUGAAGCAGCAGGAGGUGGCUUGUGGGCCCCUCACUGCCCAGGAAGGAGUUGGAAGGAGUUCUGACCCACGGCACCACUCAGCCCUUGGGACCUCCCCGCAGGCUGUUCUGGGCACCCCCUGCCCCACGUGGAGCCGGUAAGCACAGGUCGCCCAGGUAAGCUCCAGGGAAGAAGGUUCUUGUUGUCACUGAGCUCAUCUGUGCUGGGGUCACCAUCCCACGCUGAAUCUACCCUUUUUGGUGACCAACUACCCGGUCCCCCUUCUGCCCAUCUCCUGUGUCUUAGGACUUAAAGUCCAUCUAAACCCAGUGAGGAGAGAGAAGCCAUCCUCCUCCCAAACCCCCUCACCAGCUGGCAGGCAGGAGGGCCUGACCCCUGAGGGUGCACUGUGUCCUUGGCCGCACGGCCCUUCCCACUGGCCUCUGGUAGCUCGGGGUGGCUGGUCAUGGACAGACUGGCCGCUGUGGCUCAGAGAGAACUGCGAACUGAAUGAUGCCAGGCAGAAGCUCUGCACGCACGCAGACCUGGGCUGACCUGCCUCUUCCAGCUGUGUGUCCUUGAGCAACUUUCUUCACCUCUCCAAGCCUCCGUCUGCCGCUCUGUAGAAGAGGGCUCAAGGUGUGACGACUGUUAGCAGUGACAUCCACUAAGGUCUGCUUUGCUGCACAUGACAGAGCCAUCCCAGCACCAAGGCAUCAGCAGCACAGAAGCAUCUUUCCUUCGUGAGAAAGUCUGAAGGUGACUGCAUCCAGGCAGUGAGGCUGCUCCACAACGUUCUCAGCGACCCAGACUCAUUGAUCUUAUGGGCCGAGGGUCAGCCCCUUGGCCCCACUUAGCUGCCAGGAAGGGAGGCUGGGAAAUGCCAUCUCUCGCUGUGCUCAGCUACCUGCUCAGCUACAACUCAGGGUGUGCUCAAGGGAGGGAGGGGAGCGGGGUACGCACCAGUUUGAGGCAGGCCCACAGUUACAGACGCUGCUACUGCUGACGUCCCAGGACCGCCCACAACACAGCCUUCCCGCUGCGGUCAGCUCGCACCUCCCACCCCACACACGCCAGCCCCCAGUCCAGGGGCAGGGCCUCGCUGCAGCCUGGAGAAGCCAGGCAGCACAGGGAUGACAGCCACACCCACAGCACCAGCUGAAGCAUGGGGCUGGUGGGCACAGCCCAGGGUGAGGACAGAGUGAGUGACUGUUAGUUUCCCAGGACCGCAGUGACAAUGUACCACAGGCGGUGGGGGGUGGGAGGGGCUUUGGCAACAGGUCUGCGGGCAGAAGUCUGAGGUCAAGGUGUCUGCAGGGUCUGCACCCCUCCCCGGCUGCCAGUUUGCUGGUGGCCCUCGCAGCACCUUGAACCUCCACCUUCAUCCUGUGUGUGUGUCUAUGUCCAAACGUCCCCUUGUUAUAAGGAUGCAGGUCAUACUGGAUUGAGGCCCACCUGCUCCAGUGUGACUUCGUCUCAACUAACCUAUUAGCAAAGACCUUAUUUCCAAAUACGGUCAUGUUUUGAGAUUCUGGGGAUUUCAUAUGAAUGUGGGGGGAAUUUUCUAAGGAAAUGUGAGAUUCUAGAGGUUACAUCUGAAUGUGGGGGGCACUAUUCAACCCGUAACAGCAGAUGGAUAAACACCAGCACAUCACUCAGUUCUGACAAAUGCAAAUCCCAUUAUGGCUGCCGCCCCAGGCCUCCCCUCAGCCCCUGCUUGUCGGUGCCCAGCGCCACACACCCCAGA
Molecule: non-coding RNA, 4476 nt
Organism: Manis javanica (Malayan pangolin)
Lineage: Eukaryota; Metazoa; Chordata; Mammalia; Pholidota; Manidae
Source: RefSeq, a predicted model, not a curated record